AGCAGCCGCGGUAAUUCCAGCUCCAAUAGCGUAUAUUAAAGUUGUUGCAGUUAAAAAGCUCGUAGUUGAAUUUCGGGGUUAGUAGGCUGGUCGUGCCACAGGUAUGCACUGGUCUUACUGAUUCCUCCUUCCUGAUGAACCGUAAUGCCAUUAAUUUGGUGUUGCGGGGAGUCUGGACUGUUACUUUGAAAAAAUUAGAGUGUUUAAAGCAGGCUAACGCUUGAAUACAUUAGCAUGGAAUAACGAAAUAGGACGUUCGAUCCUAUUUUGUUGGUUUCUAGGAUUGACGUAAUGAUUAAUAGGGAUAGUUGGGGGCAUUAGUAUUCAAUUGUCAGAGGUGAAAUUCUUGGAUUUAUUGAAGACUAACUACUGCGAAAGCAUUUGCCAAGGAUGUUUUCAUUAAUCAAGAACGAAAGUUAGGGGAUCGAAGACGAUCAGAUACCGUCGUAGUCUUAACCAUAAACUAUGCCGACUAGGGAUCGGAUGAUGUUAAUUUUUUUAAUGACUCAUUCGGCGCCUUACG
This 523-nucleotide ribosomal RNA is filed under the name uncultured Glomus. RNAcentral's name for it is "SSU rRNA". It matches the Rfam family "Eukaryotic small subunit ribosomal RNA", at positions 569 to 1092 of the family's 1831-position model. Lineage: Eukaryota; Fungi; Glomeromycota; Glomeromycetes; Glomerales; Glomeraceae. The record is from RNAcentral.